RNAcentral lists this ribosomal RNA (307 nucleotides) under uncultured eukaryote. Its description in RNAcentral is "partial 18S ribosomal RNA". It matches the Rfam family "Eukaryotic small subunit ribosomal RNA", at positions 1470 to 1796 of the family's 1831-position model. The record is from RNAcentral.
CCCUUAGACGUUCUGGGCCGCACGCGCGCUACACUGACGAAGGCAACGAGCUUUCCUUUACCGAAAGGUACGGGUAAUCUUUUGAAACUUCGUCGUGCUGGGGAUAGAUCCUUGCAAUUUUUGAUCUUAAACGAGGAAUGCCUAGUAAGCGCAAGUCAUCAACUUGCGUUGAUUACGUCCCUGCCCUUUGUACACACCGCCCGUCGCUACUACCGAUUGAAUGGUUUAGUGAGGCCUUCGGAUCCGCGACUCGUUUGUGGAGAAGUUGGACAAACUCAGUCAUUUAGAGGAAGUAAGAGUCGUAACA